This is a non-coding RNA of Cyanistes caeruleus (blue tit), 761 nucleotides long. The record is from RefSeq and is a predicted model, not a curated record. NCBI's taxonomy places the organism in Eukaryota, Metazoa, Chordata, Aves, Passeriformes, Paridae.
CCGCAGGCACCGGUGCUUCCCCGGCCCGCAUCAUGGUCCUGUCGUGAACGCUUAAAAUAGUGCCUCGAGGGAUCCCAAAACCGCACGUAGACUAGAUUUUUGCCAGAACGUUGUUAUGAUGUUAUCGUUAUCAAAAACAUCUGAAAUACGUCCCCAGGAGGGUUUUCUCUCUGUUAUCUAAGGCACCAGGGAAGCAACUGGUAGGAAAGAUGCAGGUCAUUGUUUGUAUCUACUGACAAGACCCUUCUUGUGGAACGUGAGCACUGACUAAGGGGCUAAAAAGACACAUCAUCCCUUCAAUAUAUUACUCCAUGGUCUGUUGUGGCUGGAGGUUGCACAGCCUGAUUUUCCAGCAGCAGUUGGAGAGCAGUGGAUUUGCAUUUUGAGGCACUGGUUAAUGACAUGCAAGAGGUCCCUCUAAGGUAUGAACAGAAUCCAGUGAAGUAUGGAUGUAUAUCCAAGGUGGUAGAAGAAGGACAGCAUGUCAGAGAGGUCUGUCUGGUCCAGCUGUACUUCUGCCUCUGGGCUAAAUUGGAAAAUAAGAAGAUAAUUGAGUAAAAGUCUUCUUAAGAAAUGUCUAUGAUUACUAGAUUAUUAGGGGAUAGUUUUACCAUCACUGACAAAAUUCAGACACUCAAGACAGCUCCAUAUCCAAUCCUAUUUUCUGUACUUUUGAUAUUACAAAAACCAUCAAAGUCUUUAUAGGUGCUGCUGUAAUGUUACAUCUACUCACCUUGAAAUAAAAGGUCCUAGUACUACAA